This 476-nucleotide long non-coding RNA is filed under the name Homo sapiens (human). RNAcentral describes it as "HSALNT0304056". Lineage: Eukaryota; Metazoa; Chordata; Mammalia; Primates; Hominidae. The record is from RNAcentral.
UCACCUAAUUUCAUUAUUUCAUCUCAUCUCAUCUCAGUUCAUCUGAUCUCAUUUCAUCUCAGCAUUUCAUCUCAUCAUUUUUCAUCUCAUCAUUUUUCAUCUCAUCAUUUAAUCUCAUUUCAUUUCAUUUGAUCUCAUCAUUUCAGCUCAUUUCAUGUCACAUCUAUUCAUUUCAUCAUUUCAUUUCAACAUUUCACCAUUUCAUCUCAUCAUUUCAUCUCAUCUUUCAAUUUCAUUUCAAUAUCAUUUCAUCAUUUCAUUUCAUCUCAUUUCAUUAUUUCAUUAUUUCAUUUCAUUUCAAUUCAUCUCAUUUCAUCUCAUCAUAUUUCAUCUCAUCUCAUCAUUUCAUUUCAUCUCAUCAUUUCAUCUCAUUUUAUCUCAUCUCAUCAUUUCUUCUCAUCUCAUCAUUUCCAUUUCAUUUUCAUUUCAUUAUUUCAUCAUUUCAUCUCAUCAUUUCUUCUCAUCUCAUCAUUUCC